AUGAGUGUUGGCGUUAAGCUGGAAGGCGAUUGUGUGAUGUGUGCUGGUGGAUACCAGCUCAUUGCCUUGUUUGCCAAGGGAGGACAGGCUUUUUUCCCUUUUGGCUGCUUAGAAAAUAGUACUGACCUUCAGAGACUUUAGCUUAGUACAUUGGCGCCUUCCAGGAAGUUCUUCGUUGGGGGCAACUGGACUAUGAAUGGAAGAAAGAAGUGUUUGGGAGAACUCAUCUGCACCCUGAACGCAGCCAACAUGUCGGCAGACACUGAGGUGGUUUGUGCACUGCCAACCGCUUACAUCAACUUUGCCUGGCAGAAGCUGGACCCCAAAAUUGUUGUGGCUGCACAGAACUGCUAUAUAGUGACCAACCGGGCCUUCACUGGGGAAAUCAGCCCUGGCUUGAUCAAAGACUUAGGAGCCACCUAGGUCGUGCUGGGGCACUCAGAAAGAAGACACGUCUUUGGUGAAUCAAAGGAGUUGAUUGGGCAGAAAGUGAGCCAUGCCAUAGCAGAGGGACUCGGAGUGAUCUCCUGCAUCGGGGAGAAGCUAGACGAAAGGGAAGCUGGCUUCACUGAGAAGGUUGUUUUUGACCAAACCAAGGUCAUCGCAGAUAAUUGUGAAGGACUGGAGCAAGGUGGUCCUGGCCUGUGAACCUGUAUGGGCCAUUGGGACUGGCAAGACUGCAACCCCUCAGGAAGUCAAUGAGAAGCUCUGGGGAUGGCUGAAAUCCAAUGUCUCUGAUGGGGUGGCUCAGAGCACCCUGAUCAUUUAUGAAGGUUCUGUGACUGGAGCAACCUGCAAAGACCUGGCAAGCCAGCCUGACGUGGAUGGCUUCCUUGAGGUUGGUGAAUUUGUGGACAUCCUCAAUGCCAAACAAUGAGCACUGCCCAUCCUUCUACCUGCCUGCAUAGUGUGGGCUAGGUUGCCCAGAAGUUUAAUAACCGCUCCCACCGGUCACAUGCUUCCAAUGACAUCGUCUGCCCCAUCUUGUGGCCUAAUCCACACUGUACUCUCCUGAGCCAUUCACACCUCCCCAUAAUGGUUGGGACCAGGCCAAUCCCUUUACCACUUACAGUGGGUAGAAUCAAGUAUGUCACCAAGGUGGCUUCCUGAGGAGGGGAAGGAGUAGAACUGAUUGUCCCUUUGGGCCCUAACAAGUGAAAUCGCUUUCCAUUGGUUUGGGAUGGAAACUCAAGGUUGGAGCAUAGGCUUCGUUUCACUUUGGCUUGUCACUCAGGUAGCCUUGGCUCUAGCUUCACUCCCAAGUCCUACUGGAUGUCUGAUGCAGAAAUUCAGAGCCUUCCGGGUUCUGAAUUUCAGUAUACAUGAAGGCUGAGAUCCUCUGACUCUAAGAGGCCUGGGAUACUCCCCUCCCCCACAGUGCCGAAGCCCGUGUAUUUUGUUUGUGAACCAUCC
Mastomys coucha (southern multimammate mouse) is the source of this 1413-nucleotide RNA transcript. It is a transcript of the gene named triosephosphate isomerase pseudogene, with no coding region annotated. The transcript is spliced from 2 exons. The record is from RefSeq and is a predicted model, not a curated record. NCBI's taxonomy places the organism in Eukaryota, Metazoa, Chordata, Mammalia, Rodentia, Muridae.